UUUCUGGUUUGAACUCAGAUCAUGUGCGGGGUAGAGGUCGAACAGACCUUGUGAAAAUAGCUUCUGCACUAUUUGUAGCCGCAAUUCAACAUCGAGGUCGCAAACAAUUAUUUUAAUAAGGGCUUAAAUAAUUAUAACGCUGUUAUCCCUAGAGUACCUUAUUCGUCUAAUUUAAUAAAGAUCAUUGUUAAUAUAAAUAGUCCUAUUUAAAUUUACC
RNAcentral lists this ribosomal RNA (217 nucleotides) under Acartia tonsa. RNAcentral describes it as "partial large subunit ribosomal RNA". The record is from RNAcentral. Lineage: Eukaryota; Metazoa; Arthropoda; Copepoda; Calanoida; Acartiidae.